Molecule: unclassified non-coding RNA, 337 nt
Filed under: soil metagenome
Description: partial contains 5.8S ribosomal RNA, internal transcribed spacer 2, and large subunit ribosomal RNA
Rfam family: 5.8S ribosomal RNA (bases 1-122)
Source: RNAcentral
GAUGAAGAACGCAGCGAAAUGCGAUACGUAAUGUGAAUUGCAGAUCUCUCAGUGAAUCAUCGAAUCUUUGAACGCACAUUGCGCCCGCCAGUAUUCUGGCGGGCAUGCCUGUUCGAGCGUCAUUUCAACCAUCAAGCCCCCGGCUUGUGUUGGGGACCUGCGGCUGCCGCAGGCCCUGAAAACCAGUGGCGGGCUCGCUAGUCACUCCGAGCGUAGUAGUUACAUCUCGCUCAGGGCGUGCUGCGGGUUCCGGCCGUUAAAAGCCUUAUUUACCCAAGGUUGACCUCGGAUCAGGUAGGAAGACCCGCUGAACUUAAUCAUAUCAAUAAGCGGAGGA